GAUGAACGCUGGCGGCGUGCCUAAUACAUGCAAGUCGAGCGAACGGACGAGAAGCUUGCUUCUCUGAUGUUAGCGGCGGACGGGUGAGUAACACGUGGAUAACCUACCUAUAAGACUGGGAUAACUUCGGGAAACCGGAGCUAAUACCGGAUGAUAUUUUGAACCGCAUGGUUCAAAAGUGAAAGACGGUCUUGCUGUCACUUAUAGAUGGAUCCGCGCUGCAUUAGCUAGUUGGUAAGGUAACGGCUUAUCAAGGCAACGAUGCAUAGCCGACCUGAAAGGGAGAUAGCCCACACGGGAACUGAGAGGCCGUCCGCAGCCCUAGGGGAGGACUAAGUGCAAGCUCUACGGCGCUCGUCGAAAGCAUGACGGAGCAACACAACGUGAAUUGCAGAGGCCUCCGGCUCGUAAUACAGUAUUAUUAGUGACGAACAUAUAUGCAAGUAACUGUGCAAAGCUUGACGGUACCUCCUAAGAAAGCCACGGCUAACUUCGUG
This 497-nucleotide ribosomal RNA is filed under the name uncultured bacterium. Its description in RNAcentral is "partial 16S ribosomal RNA". It matches the Rfam family "Bacterial small subunit ribosomal RNA", at positions 28 to 507 of the family's 1533-position model. The record is from RNAcentral.